UUGGUUCUGGUUCUAGCCAUGUCGCCCCUCCUAGUAUCACGUUAAGUUUCACAGCAGGGUAUGCAGUACACUUCUUACCCUGUAGUUGUUUAACGCGAGCACGGAUUAUAGUAUGCACAAACCACAUGUUUUCAUUUUAUGUUAUUUCUGAAGAUAACAUGUUUUAGUUACUGCAUAAGAUUGUUGGGAUCAAUUUUAUCAUAACAUCCUAGUAUAAAAUGUUCCUCAAACAUCAUGCAAGCACCUAACUUUUUAACUUCCAUUCUAAAUGAUGUUAACAGAGAUAG
This 287-nucleotide long non-coding RNA is filed under the name Solanum tuberosum (potato). RNAcentral describes it as "long non-coding RNA (STUB_LNC003087)". Lineage: Eukaryota; Viridiplantae; Streptophyta; Magnoliopsida; Solanales; Solanaceae. The record is from RNAcentral.